RNAcentral lists this ribosomal RNA (497 nucleotides) under uncultured bacterium. RNAcentral describes it as "partial 16S ribosomal RNA". It matches the Rfam family "Bacterial small subunit ribosomal RNA", at positions 28 to 507 of the family's 1533-position model. The record is from RNAcentral.
GAUGAACGCUGGCGGCGUGCCUAAUACAUGCAAGUCGAGCGAACGGACGAGAAGCUUGCUUUUCUGAUGUUAGCGGCGGACGGGUGAGUAACACGUGGAUAACCUACCUAUAAGACUGGGAUAACUUCGGGAAACCGGAGCUAAUACCGGAUAAUAUUUUGAACCGCAUGGUUCAAAAGUGAAAGACGGUCUUGCUGUCACUUAUAGAUGGAUCCGCGCUGCAUUAGCUAGUUGGUAAGGUAACGGCUUACCAAGGCAACGAUGCAUAGCCGACCUGAGAGGGGGGUCGGCCACACUGGAACUGAGACACGGUCCAGACUCCUACGGGAGGCAGCAGUAGGGAAUCUUCCGCAAUGGGCGAAAGCCUGACGGAGCAACGCCGCGUGAGUGAUGAAGGUCUUCGGAUCGUAAAACUCUGUUAUUAGGGAAGAACAUAUGUGUAAGUAACUGUGCACAUCUUGACGGUACCUAAUCAGAAAGCCACGGCUAACUACGUG